GAUGAUGUAGCUCAGUGAUAGAGCACUUGUCUAGCAUGCCUGAGGUCUUGGGUUUCAUUUCCAGCACCACCA
Molecule: transfer RNA, 72 nt
Filed under: Ictidomys tridecemlineatus (thirteen-lined ground squirrel)
Lineage: Eukaryota; Metazoa; Chordata; Mammalia; Rodentia; Sciuridae
Description: Spermophilus tridecemlineatus (thirteen-lined ground squirrel) tRNA
Rfam family: tRNA
About the family: Transfer RNA (tRNA) molecules are approximately 80 nucleotides in length. Their secondary structure includes four short double-helical elements and three loops (D, anti-codon, and T loops).
Source: Rfam by way of RNAcentral